GUAACAAGGUUUCCGUAGGUGAACCUGCGGAAGGAUCAUUACCUAGAGUUGUAGGCUUUGCCUGCUAUCUCUUACCCAUGUCUUUUGAGUACCUUCGUUUCCUCGGCGGGUUCGCCCGCCGAUUGGACAAUUUAAACCAUUUGCAGUUGCAAUCAGCGUCUGAAAAAACAUAAUAGUUACAACUUUCAACAACGGAUCUCUUGGUUCUGGCAUCGAUGAAGAACGCAGCGAAAUGCGAUAAGUAGUGUGAAUUGCAGAAUUCAGUGAAUCAUCGAAUCUUUGAACGCACAUUGCGCCCCUUGGUAUUCCAUGGGGCAUGCCUGUUCGAGCGUCAUUUGUACCUUCAAGCUCUGCUUGGUGUUGGGUGUUUGUCUCGCCUCUGCGUGUAGACUCGCCUCAAAACAAUUGGCAGCCGGCGUAUUGAUUUCGGAGCGCAGUACAUCUCGCGCUUUGCACUCAGAACGACGACGUCCAAAAGUACAUUUUUACACUCUUGACCUCGGAUCAGGUAGG
RNAcentral lists this ribosomal RNA (513 nucleotides) under Phoma sp. FL-2010a. Its description in RNAcentral is "eukaryotic LSU rRNA". The stretch from base 181 to 334 matches the Rfam family "5.8S ribosomal RNA". The record is from RNAcentral. Lineage: Eukaryota; Fungi; Ascomycota; Dothideomycetes; Pleosporales; Didymellaceae.